CCUACGGGAGGCUGCAGUGAGGAAUAUUGGUCAAUGGGCGCAAGCCUGAACCAGCCAUCCCGCGUGAAGGAAGAAGGCGCUAUGCGUCGUAAACUUCUUUUCCGGAGGAAUAAAAUUUCGUACGUGUACGGGACUGAAGGUACUCUGGGAAUAAGCAUCGGCUAACUCCGUGCCAGCAGCCGCGGUAAUACGGAGGAUGCGAGCGUUAUCGGGAUUAAUGGGGUUUAAGGCGGACAUAUACGUAAGAGGUGAAAACCUUCAGCUUAACUGGAGACUUGCCAUUGAUACUGUUAUUCUUGAGUAUAGUUAAGGUAGGCGGAAUGUGUAAUGUAGCGGUGAAAUGCUUAGAUAUUACACAGAACACCAAUUGCGAAGGCAGCUUACUGAGCUAUAACUGACGCUGAUGCACGAAAGCGUGGGGAGCGAACAGGAUUAGAUACCCUGGUAGUC
RNAcentral lists this ribosomal RNA (450 nucleotides) under uncultured bacterium. Its description in RNAcentral is "partial 16S ribosomal RNA". It matches the Rfam family "Bacterial small subunit ribosomal RNA", at positions 338 to 795 of the family's 1533-position model. The record is from RNAcentral.